GUCAAUCACCCCGACUAGAAGUGGGGGGCAUGUCCCGUGAGGGAUAUGGGCAACUGAUUGUAGGAGUCAAAAAAUGAAAAAGUUAUCUAAAAGAAAUACAUACACACCAAUCAAUGCUUCACAAGUUGGUUGCAACUGUGAUCUAUUAUUAAACAGAGUGGACACACUCAGUGUAAUAGAUUCAAAAACUUUAGAUAACCGCUCCGAAGUGAACCAAUC
Non-coding RNA from Candidatus Methanoperedens sp., 219 nucleotides. The record is from Rfam. NCBI's taxonomy places the organism in Archaea, Methanobacteriati, Methanobacteriota, Methanomicrobia, Methanosarcinales, Candidatus Methanoperedentaceae.